AGCGACUUAUAUUCUGUAGCAAGGUUAACCGAAUAGGGGAGCCGAAGGGAAACCGAGUCUUAACCGGGCGUUAAGUUGCAGGGUAUAGACCCGAAACCCGGUGAUCUAGCCAUGGGCAGGUUGAAGGUUGGGUAACACUAACUGGAGGACCGAACCGACUAAUGUUGAAAAAUUAGCGGAUGACUUGUGGCUGGGGGUGAAAGGCCAAUCAAACCGGGAGAUAGCUGGUUCUCCCCGAAAGCUAUUUAGGUAGCGCCUCGUGAAUUCAUCUCCGGGGGUAGAGCACUGUUUCGGCAAGGGGGUCAUCCCGACUUACCAACCCGAUGCAAACUGCGAAUACCGGAGAAUGUUAUCACGGGAGACACACGGCGGGUGCUAACGUCCGUCGUGAAGAGGGAAACAACCCAGACCGCCAGCUAAGGUCCCAAAGUCAUGGUUAAGUGGGAAACGAUGUGGGAAGGCCCAGACAGCCAGGAUGUUGGCUUAGAAGCAGCCAUCAUUUAAAGAAAGCGUAAUAGCUCACUGGUCGAGUCGGCCUGCGCGGAAGAUGUAACGGGGCUAAACCAUGCACCGAAGCUGCGGCAGCGACACUGUGUGUUGUUGGGUAGGGGAGCGU
RNAcentral lists this ribosomal RNA (616 nucleotides) under Escherichia coli. Its description in RNAcentral is "partial 23S ribosomal RNA". It matches the Rfam family "Bacterial large subunit ribosomal RNA", at positions 623 to 1239 of the family's 2925-position model. Lineage: Bacteria; Pseudomonadati; Pseudomonadota; Gammaproteobacteria; Enterobacterales; Enterobacteriaceae. The record is from RNAcentral.